AAAGUUCAACUUCUCUCCCUUUUUUUCCCUUCAAUUUUGUGUUCCCCCCUCUCUCUUUCUUUCCCUCUUUCUUUUCUUCCAUUAAAGCAUCCUCUCCAAGCUUCUUAUCCAAGGCUCAUCUUGGUGGUGAAUCUCCUUCUUCCAUGGCUUAUUCCCUAGUAGAUGGCGCCUCCUCUCACCUCUUCUCCUUUGUCUUCCGCUGCAUCUCCAUGGUGGAAAAUCA
RNAcentral lists this long non-coding RNA (223 nucleotides) under Glycine max (soybean). RNAcentral describes it as "long non-coding RNA (GMAX_LNC002817)". The record is from RNAcentral. Lineage: Eukaryota; Viridiplantae; Streptophyta; Magnoliopsida; Fabales; Fabaceae.